This 334-nucleotide ribosomal RNA is filed under the name uncultured bacterium. RNAcentral's name for it is "bacterial SSU rRNA". It matches the Rfam family "Bacterial small subunit ribosomal RNA", at positions 95 to 432 of the family's 1533-position model. The record is from RNAcentral.
GUGGCGAACGGGUGAGUAAUGCAUCGGAACGUGCCCAGUCGUGGGGGAUAACUGCUCGAAAGAGCAGCUAAUACCGCAUACGACCUGAGGGUGAAAGCGGGGGACCGUAAGGCCUCGCGCGAUUGGAGCGGCCGAUGUCAGAUUAGCUAGUUGGUGGGGUAAAGGCCUACCAAGGCAACGAUCUGUAGUUGGUCUGAGAGGACGACCAGCCACACUGGGACUGAGACACGGCCCAGACUCCUACGGGAGGCAGCAGUGGGGAAUUUUGGACAAUGGGCGCAAGCCUGAUCCAGCAAUGCCGCGUGCAGGAAGAAGGCCUUCGGGUUGUAAACUG